GAUGAAGAACGUAGCGAAAUGCGAUAAGUAAUGUGAAUUGCAGAAUUCAGUGAAUCAUCGAAUCUUUGAACGCACAUUGCGCCCGCCAGUAUUCUGGCGGGCAUGCCUGUUCGAGCGUCAUUUCAACCAUCAAGCCCCGGGCUUGUGUUGGGGACCUGCGGCUGCCGCAGGCCCUGAAAUGCAGUGGCGGGCUCGCUGUCACUCCGAGCGUAGUAAUACAUCUCGCUCAGGGCGUGCUGCGGGUUCCGGCCGUUAAAAAGCCUUAUUUACCCAAGGUUGACCUCGGAUCAGGUAGGAAGACCCGCUGAACUUAAGCAUAUCAAUAAGCGGAGGA
This 334-nucleotide unclassified non-coding RNA is filed under the name soil metagenome. RNAcentral's name for it is "partial contains 5.8S ribosomal RNA, internal transcribed spacer 2, and large subunit ribosomal RNA". The stretch from base 1 to 120 matches the Rfam family "5.8S ribosomal RNA", at positions 35 to 154 of the family's 154-position model. The record is from RNAcentral.